GUGUCAGCAGCCGCGGUAAUACGAAGGGGGCUAGCGUUGUUCGGAUUUACUGGGCGUAAAGCGCACGUAGGCGGAUUGGUCAGUUAGGGGUGAAAUCCCAGAGCUCAACUCUGGAACUGCCUUUAAUACUGCCAGUCUAGAGUCCGGAAGAGGUGAGUGGAACUCCUAGUGUAGAGGUGGAAUUCGUAGAUAUUAGGAAGAACACCAGUGGCGAAGGCGGCUCACUGGUCCGGUACUGACGCUGAGGUGCGAAAGCGUGGGGAGCAAACAGGAUUAGAAACCCGCGUAGUCC
Molecule: ribosomal RNA, 292 nt
Filed under: uncultured bacterium
Lineage: Bacteria
Description: partial 16S ribosomal RNA
Rfam family: Bacterial small subunit ribosomal RNA
Source: RNAcentral